RNAcentral lists this ribosomal RNA (338 nucleotides) under uncultured bacterium. RNAcentral describes it as "bacterial SSU rRNA". It matches the Rfam family "Bacterial small subunit ribosomal RNA", at positions 466 to 793 of the family's 1533-position model. The record is from RNAcentral.
UAUUUGACGUUACCUACAGAAGAAGCACCGGCUAACUCCGUGCCAGCAGCCGCGGUAAUACGGAGGGUGCGAGCGUUAAUCGGAAUUACUGGGCGUAAAGCGCAUGCAGGCGGCCUGUUAAGUCAGAUGUGAAAGACCCGGGGCGUUAACCUCGGAAUUGCAUUUGUAAACUGGCAGGCUAGAGUCUUGUAGAGGGGGGUAGGAAGUUUCAGGUUACGGUUAGCGGUGAAAUGCGUAGAGAUCUGAAGGAAUACCAGUGGCGAAGGCGGCCCCCUGGACAAAGACUGACGCUCAGAUGCGAAAGCGUGGGGAGCAAACAGGAUUAGAUACCCUGGUAG